AGCUGCGUGGUGAGCACAAAGCGAACUAUUCUUUCGCCUUUUACUAAAGAAUACCGUGUGCGCGCCACAGUUAAGCAGCAUACGCUAAUUUUUGAAGGGCUCCUUCCUCUAAGAGGAGGGU
Non-coding RNA from Brachypodium distachyon (stiff brome), 121 nucleotides. The record is from Rfam. Lineage: Eukaryota; Viridiplantae; Streptophyta; Magnoliopsida; Poales; Poaceae.